Molecule: long non-coding RNA, 246 nt
Organism: Erpetoichthys calabaricus (reedfish)
Lineage: Eukaryota; Metazoa; Chordata; Cladistia; Polypteriformes; Polypteridae
Exons: 3
Source: RefSeq, a predicted model, not a curated record
GAAGACUAUUUAGUCUAUGGCCACAGUUCUGACAGAAGAAGGUCAAAAAGACAAAUGAGUCUGAUAGCACCAUUCAGACUGGAGAAGGUCAAGAAGACCAUUAAGUCUAUGGGCACAGUUCUGACUGGACAAGGUUGAGAAGAUCACCAAGUCUGUGGGCAUCAUUCAGAAUUGAGAAGGUCAAGAAGACCAUCUGCUGAUGGCAUUUUUCUGCUCGUUUGUUUUGUUCAUAUUGAUGUGCACAAG